Astatotilapia calliptera (eastern happy) is the source of this 1378-nucleotide long non-coding RNA. The record is from Ensembl. NCBI's taxonomy places the organism in Eukaryota, Metazoa, Chordata, Actinopteri, Cichliformes, Cichlidae.
GUGAUUGGUUGUUAAUAAUAGUAUAUUUAAUAGUGCUUCUUUUGUGGCAAUCAUAUCAAGAAAUAACGUUUCCAAAUCUCAGUAACUGUCUGCUGAUUUGCUUUGCUACAUCAGACUAAUGCAGGUAAUACAUCUCUAAGAUAUUUUUUAGUAUUCUUGGCCAGGAAAAGCUUAUACAAAGCAACUGUGGCUAUGAGGAAUCUGCGAUGCAUAUCAGCACACAUUGCGUUUUGUUAUUGUAUUAAAUUUUGUUAUAUUAUUCUGAUUAAAGGUUCCUUUUGGUUUAUCCUUUCUCAGGGACAUGGAAAAGCAAAAAGUGUUGUGGAAAAGAUUCUUUGUCAUCUCGGCUAGAAAAACAAUUGGAGCAGACAUUGCAGAGGCCCUGGACAAGAUUCCCCGUGGUAAACCUGUAAUUCUGGUGGUGAUGCAUCACACCUCCAAUCUUGAGCAUGUUGUAGCUGAAAGCUGGAGACAGGUGAAGAACGAGAAUGUCCACCUCACUGUGGAUUGUCUGGUUUAUAAGGGAAAACUGCUUGAUUGCAGCUUCAAUGAUAUCAUGUGGUGUAACAUUGGGAAGUUUUUCAGAGUUUCCAUUCACCAGCUCAUUCAGACUUCUAAGUGGCGAAAAUGCAGUUGUUACACUGACCCUCUGAUACUGGGUGUAGGUUUUAUAAUGUGUAUUAUGAUAGUGGCAACUGUGACUAUGGAAGUAGUGCGAAGGAUGAUUUAGAUGUUACUGAGCUGAAUGUUUUUUUUUUAUUAUCUGGAUCAUAAAAAAAGGAAAAUGAUAUAAUGAUAAGAGAUCUGCAACCUUAUGCACAGGGCUACAUGUUCAUUGAAAAAAUGUGUUGUGAGUUUGACAGUGAGAUCUGAGAUGCUAAAAUGUUCUAAAAGAAUAACUUGCUGCUCUUGUCCAAUACUUGUGUGAAAGAAAUCCUCUCUGAAGAGAUGGUCGUGUAAAGUUUGUAUCCAAUGUUUCAGCCAAAGGUGCUAUGAGAUUAAAGUUUUUUAAAGUUCAACAUGUGGCUAUAUUUCCGGUUCACAGUCUCUUUUUGCUUCUUCUUAAGCAAAGCAUUUCCCCUGUGUAUGGCUGUAUGAUAUAAUGUUCUGGUUAAGAUUUAGGUUUUAGUUGAACAGAUUAGUAAGUUUUAAAUAACAGCUCAGAAAGUAAGGAUGCUGUUUUGUGCAAUUUUAUUAAUUAUAUUUAAAUUAUCUGUGAUGAAUACAAAUCAAUUGUAUAUAGUAUUUUAUUUUAUUGUGUACAGUAUCUUAUUCUUAUUCUUAUCAUCUUAUCUUAUUUCAGUGUUUUGUUUUGUUUUCAAAUUUUUGCUAUGUAACUUUACACUGUCCACUUUCUGCUGUAACAAAUCAAAUUGCC